This 402-nucleotide ribosomal RNA is filed under the name Acetobacteraceae bacterium Ellin7110. RNAcentral describes it as "bacterial SSU rRNA". It matches the Rfam family "Bacterial small subunit ribosomal RNA", at positions 28 to 457 of the family's 1533-position model. The record is from RNAcentral. Lineage: Bacteria; Pseudomonadati; Pseudomonadota; Alphaproteobacteria; Acetobacterales; Acetobacteraceae.
AGCGAACGCUGGCGGAAUGCUUAACACAUGCAAGUCGCACGGGGCUUCGGCUCGAGUGGCGGACGGGUGAGUAACGCGUAGGAACGUGUCUUGGGGUGGGGGAUAACGCUGGGAAACUGGCGCUAAUACCGCAUAUGGGCUGAGGCCCAAAGCCUUCGGGUGCCUUGAGAGCGGCCUGCGUCCGAUUAGCUAGUUGGUGGGGUAAAGGCUUACCAAGGCUUCGAUCGGUAGCUGGUCUGAGAGGACGAUCAGCCACACUGGGACUGAGACACGGCCCAGACUCCUACGGGAGGCAGCAGUGGGGAAUAUUGGACAAUGGGCGGAAGCCUGAUCCAGCAAUUCCGCGUGGGUGAAGAAGGUCUUCGGAUUGUAAAGCCCUUUCGACAGGGACGAUGAUGACGG